GAUGAACGCUGGCGGCGUGCCUAAUACAUGCAAGUCGAGCGAACAGGCGAGGAGCUUGCUCCUCUGACGUUAGCGGCGGACGGGUGAGUAACACGUGGAUAACCUACCUAUAAGACUGGGAUAACUUCGGGAAACCGGAGCUAAUACCGGAUAAUAUAUUGAACCGCAUGGUUCAAUAGUGAAAGACGGUUUUGCUGUCACUUAUAGAUGGAUCCGCGCCGCAUUAGCUAGUUGGUAAGGUAACGGCUUACCAAGGCAACGAUGCGUAGCCGACGUGAGAGGGGGGUCGGCCACACUGGAACUGAGACACGGUCCAGACUCCUACGGGAGGCAGCAGUAGGGAAUCUUCCGCAAUGGGCGAAAGCCUGACGGAGCAACGCCGCGUGAGUGAUGAAGGUCUUCGGAGCGUAAAACUCUGUUAUUAGGGAAGAACAAAUGUGUAAGUAACUAUGCACGUCUUGACGGUACCUAAUCAGAAAGCCACGGCUAACUACGUG
This 497-nucleotide ribosomal RNA is filed under the name uncultured bacterium. RNAcentral describes it as "partial 16S ribosomal RNA". It matches the Rfam family "Bacterial small subunit ribosomal RNA", at positions 28 to 507 of the family's 1533-position model. The record is from RNAcentral.